RNAcentral lists this microRNA precursor (60 nucleotides) under Oryctolagus cuniculus (rabbit). RNAcentral's name for it is "microRNA ocu-mir-130b precursor". Its record names the gene ocu-mir-130b. Lineage: Eukaryota; Metazoa; Chordata; Mammalia; Lagomorpha; Leporidae. The record is from miRBase by way of RNAcentral.
ACUCUUUCCCUGUUGCACUACUGUGGACCACUGGGAAGCAGUGCAAUGAUGAAAGGGCAU